Non-coding RNA from Suncus etruscus (white-toothed pygmy shrew), 369 nucleotides. Lineage: Eukaryota; Metazoa; Chordata; Mammalia; Eulipotyphla; Soricidae. The record is from the annotation of a RefSeq genome assembly.
AUGAGGGCCCAGAUGCAUCUCCUCAGCUUUCUGCUGUUCUGGCUCUCAGGUGCCUGCGGUGAUAUUCAGGUGACCCAGAAUCCAUCUGUGUCUGCAUCUCUGGGAGAAAAAGUCACCAUCACUUGCCAGAGCAGUCAGGACAUUAAAAAUUAUAUGAACUGGUAUCAACAGAAACCAUGGAAAACUCCUAGACUACUAAUCUAUUAUGCAACAACUUUGCAGUCUGGGGUCUCUUCCCGGUUCAGUGGCAGUGGAUCUGGCACAGAUUUCACUCUCACCAUCAGCAGCAUGGAGGCUGAAGAUGCUGCCACUUACUACUGUCAACAGGAUUAUAAUUAUUGUCCCACAGUGAUUCAGGCCAGAACAUAA